This 229-nucleotide ribosomal RNA is filed under the name uncultured bacterium. Its description in RNAcentral is "partial 16S ribosomal RNA". It matches the Rfam family "Bacterial small subunit ribosomal RNA", at positions 568 to 796 of the family's 1533-position model. The record is from RNAcentral.
UGCGCAGGCGGAUUGUUAAGCAAGAUGUGAAAUCCCCGGGCUUAACCUGGGAAUGGCAUUUUGAACUGGCAGUCUAGAGUGCGUCAGAGGGGGGUGGAAUUCCACGUGUAGCAGUGAAAUGCGUAGAGAUGUGGAGGAACACCAAUGGCGAAGGCAGCCCCCUGGGAUGACACUGACGCUCAUGUACGAAAGCGUGGGUAGCAAACAGGAUUAGAUACCCUGGUAGUCC